Molecule: long non-coding RNA, 1753 nt
Organism: Homo sapiens (human)
Lineage: Eukaryota; Metazoa; Chordata; Mammalia; Primates; Hominidae
Product: long intergenic non-protein coding RNA 1036
Source: Ensembl
AGAUUUGGCUUUAUGUUUUUGAAUGGGGAUGCUAAAGGAGAUUGGUGAAAGAAAUCGGUUAUCUCCUUUUUACAUUAGGUAGAGAUUUUUUUUUUGUUCCCAUCAAUGCCUCCAAUUUUUUUUCCCUCAUUGCCUUUUGACUCCUAGCCUCAAUAUAAUUCUCUGGAAAACUACCGUUUACUUAUGCCAAGAAGGAAGAUUAAAAGAAUGUCACUCUGUCCCCCAGGCUGGAGUGCAGUGGUGCCAUCUUGGCUCACUGCAAGCUCCGCCUCCCGGGUUCCCGCCAUUCUCCUGCCUCAGCCUCCUGAGUAGCCGGACUACAGGCGCCGGCCACCCCACCGCGCUAAUUUUUUUGUAUUUUUUAGUAGAGACGGGGUUUUGUGUCCGGAAUUGGUGGGUUCUUGGUCUCACUGACUUCAAGAAUGAAGCCGCGGACCCUCGCAGUGAGUGCUACAGCUUUUAAGGUGGCGCCUUUGGAGUUUGUUCCUUCUGAUGUUCGGAUGUGUUCGGAGUUUCUUCCUUCUGGUGGGUUCGUGAUCUCGCUGGCUCAGGAGUGAAGCUGCAGACCUUCACGGGGAGUGUUACAGCUCUUAAGGUGGCACAUCUGGAGUUUGUUCCUUCUGACGUUCAGAUGUGUUCGGAGUUUCUUCCUUCUGGUGGGUUCGUGAUCUCGCUGGCUCAGGAGUGAAGCUGCAGACCUUCAGGGGGAGUGUUACAGCUCUUAAGGUGGCGCGUCUGGAGUUUCUUCCUUCUGGUGGGUUCGUGAUCUCGCUGGCUCAGGAGUGAAGCUGCAGACCUUCACGGGUCAGAUGAAAGUGAGAUCCAUACAUCCUUCUUCAGCAACUUGUGCCUCUGCUCUGCACCUCCCGCAAUUAACUACUGAAAAAAGAACACAGCUUCACAAAAGAGAUUGUAAAAUCAGGAAGUAUAUCUAAGUCACCUCCAGUAGCCGUAACUCUACCUUGUCCAGUAAAAGGAUAAUUCUGGCAGCUAUUGAAAACAGACUGAAGAGAAGAAAGAAGAUUUGGAGGAAUAUGUAUCCAAGAUUGAUGAUGGUGGCUCAGAUCAGUGCUGCUUGUUGCUGACGUUUCUGCCCAAACAUCAUGAAAUGUGGAGAAGAAAGAACACUCAGAUGUGCCCUGGAGACUUUCCUUUUAUUUUUAAACAGAAACCCUGGAGUUCUGGUAUCCAACCUAAAUCACAGAUGACCUUGAGGAUAGUGAAGCAGAAAGUUCUGGACCUGUGCCAGCCACAUAGAAACUGCUUAAUAAUUAUUUGUUGAAGAAUGUUCUAAAUGAAUAAUCCGCAGCAAAGCCCUGAGAAAAGCAGAGCCCCUGGAAAACUCACAUAUGUGUCAACAAUAGUCCUUGAUGCCCCUGUAACAAAACUUGAGCAAGGCCUGGUGAUGAAGAGAUACAAGAUUGUCACCCAAGGAUUUGAUUAUACCUCUGUUGAAAGUUAAUGCACACUCAACCGAAUAUGGCAAUUGGUACUCUCAAUUCUAUAUUCUCAACAAUUACAGUGAAGAUACAAGUAGAAUACAAUCACUGCCACAUUUUUUGAAAUUCUGUGUAAACUGUAAUAUUCUGUCAACAUUAAUGACAUUUGAAGUGUCCUGUCAAAACAAUUGCAGCUACUUUAUGUAUAAAACAUAUUAAAUAGGCUCAUCCAACUUGCAUUCUUUAUUAAGCUUAUUUUCAUAUUUUUUCCUAUGGAUGAACUUAAAAAUAAUUUUGUUUCUUAAUUAAGAUUC